RNAcentral lists this non-coding RNA (272 nucleotides) under Stegodyphus mimosarum. RNAcentral describes it as "Eukaryotic large subunit ribosomal RNA". It matches the Rfam family "Eukaryotic large subunit ribosomal RNA", at positions 1892 to 2142 of the family's 3401-position model. The record is from Rfam by way of RNAcentral. Lineage: Eukaryota; Metazoa; Arthropoda; Arachnida; Araneae; Eresidae.
AGAACAAUGUAGGUAAGGGAAGUCGGCAAGUUCGAUCCGUAACUUCGGGACAAGGAUUGGCUCUGAGGACUGGGCCCGUCGGGCUGGGGUUCGAAGCGGGUGUGGCACUGCACCGAGACUGGCCGUGAAAGCGGUCCGGGCGGCCCGGACCGGACCAGCGUCGGGGCCUUCCCGUGGAAUGCACCGUUUCGGCGGGCAACUAACAGCCGACUCAGAGUGGUGAAGGGUUUCAUGAGGAAAUCGGCGGAGCCGACAACUCGUGUCCACCUCCU